Caretta caretta (loggerhead turtle) is the source of this 540-nucleotide non-coding RNA. NCBI's taxonomy places the organism in Eukaryota, Metazoa, Chordata, Testudines, Cheloniidae. The record is from RefSeq and is a predicted model, not a curated record.
UUCUGACAGACUAAGGGCUCUCUCCCUGCGCUCUGCGGCGACUACACAAGCCACGUUAAAGCACUGCUGCAGCAACGCUUUAACGUUGCCAGUGAAGACCUGCCCUAAGGGAAACAUAAGAGCAACAAUGUUUAUAUAACAAGGCCUCUGUCAUGUACAACUCAUAGACAGGUGUACAGUCACCUGAUGAGCCUUCAAAAGGAAAACCACCAAAGCAUUUGGAGGAUGUGAACACACAGCUCUGAAAUUCUGCCUGGCUCAUGCAUCCAGUGAAGGAACUUUGGGGAAAGGAAAGAGAGUGCCUACUUAUCUUCCCAUUCAUCUACUGACUACAGAAGUGACAUUCAAGGAAGUAGUUGUGGUCUAGCCUAAGAGAAAAAUGUAAUACUUGCAAAGAGAGAUCAGUAUCCCUAUCAAUAGAUGUAGGAGAUAAAGGAUACAAAUGUAACAAAAAUCAAUACAUUAGUUAUUGGUGAAUAGGAAUGAUUUAAUGCAUCUCAGUUUCUUCAAAACUGACUUCCUGACACCAUCUCUCCUACC